GCCACUGGAUGUGGUGGUACACACCUGUAGUCCCAGCUACUUGGGAGGCUGAGACAGGAGGAUUGCCUGAGUCCAGGAGUUCUGGGCUGUAGUGCGCUAUGCCGAUCGGGUGUCUGCACUAAGUUCAGCAUCAAUAUGGUGACUUCCCGGGAGUGGGGGGCUACCAGGUUACCUAAGGAGGAGUGAACUGGCCCAGGUUGGAAACGGAGCAGGUCAAAACUCCUGUGCUGAUCAGUAGAGAGAUCACGCCUGUGAAUAGCCACUGCACUCCAUCCUGGGCAACAUAGUGAGACCCGGUCU
Otolemur garnettii (small-eared galago) is the source of this 300-nucleotide unclassified non-coding RNA. It matches the Rfam family "Metazoan signal recognition particle RNA". From Rfam's summary of the family: The signal recognition particle (SRP) is a universally conserved ribonucleoprotein. It is involved in the co-translational targeting of proteins to membranes. NCBI's taxonomy places the organism in Eukaryota, Metazoa, Chordata, Mammalia, Primates, Galagidae. The record is from Ensembl.